AUUACAGAGAGAAAAAACUUUACCAAACACAGGAUGAAUGAAAAGUAAGCAAGGGAACCAUUUUAAAGACAAAUCCCGCCUACUACUACUACUGCUACUACUACUACACUCGCUGGGUGUUCAACUUCAAAACUGUAAAGAACAAAGGUACAGCAACGCAAACAUCAUCACUCUCGAAAGUGCAAUGCUACUGAUCUGUUCUACGAGCACAAAACCAUAAAGAUCUCCAAGAAGAAUAGCUUCCCGCGUAAUAGUUAUAUAGAUCUACCGAUACCUAACAUAAACAAAAGAGGAAUAACAACAAGCAAGGGAGGAGCCGUUUCAAAGACAAACACCGCCUACUACUACUACUACACUCACGUGGACUGGCUGAGGUCAAAUUUAAAACAAUGAAAUCGUCUUGUCUCUGAAGAGCACUACUGCUGACCAUUUCUGCAAGCGCAAAAUCAUCACCAAGAAGAUUAAACGUGCUUUGGAAGACAAUUUCUUGCGACCUCUUAUGGUGGAAGUGAUGCAACCUCUUAUGCUGGAAGUGAUGCGACCUCUUGUGAUGACAAUGACAAAAUUGGAAAGUAGGGUGCAAGAUCAGCAGAAUUCACUAGAAAUAAUGAUAGGUACCAUCGAACAUUUGAAACAAACUCAGGCUGCUGCACCCACUGGACCUGAUUUAUCCUUGCUGGACGGAUUGCUACCAAUACAAAGAUAUGUAGACUUUGAGGACUUUGAACAACAGAUAAAUGGGGACAGUGCCCUUAGAAAGUCACUGGUACAUCGACUCCAGAAUCUUGGGGGAGCAACCGUCAAAGCAGCAGUCAAAACCAUGAUUGACUUCUGCAUGACAAGUGGACUCCAGUAUGAGUUCAACUGGGAAGGUCGUCUUGGCUGAACAUGAAAACAAAUACAUGCAAGAAAGGGUUCGAGAACACGACAUUGUGUGGAAUUAUAAUAAAUAUUCUGGUGAACAAGACACAAUUAUCAACUGAUGAAACUGAAGUAGGGAAAACUAUGAUGAUUUAUCUAAAAAAUGCAUGUGACAGAUACGUGGGAAGGAAAAGACCAAAAGACUUGCACAGUCAGCAAAGUCAAGAUGAGAGUCCCAAUUCAUCUCAACCUAAUUCUGGUUGGGAUCCUGAAGGAAUAUAAUAUAGAGCACUUCUGCUGACUGUUGUCAAGGAAAUUAUAAAUAUUCAUGUAAUUUGUUUAUCAAUCAAAUUUAUCUUAUUAUUGUCAGUCUCUUUUGAUUAGAUUUUUAUAAUAUUUAAAUGAAUAAUUUUUAUUAUAUUUAAAUGAAUAAUUUGAUGUAGAGAAGUAUCAUUCUUUUCUGUCUAAUGUUUGUUGUGACUUCAUGCAAGAUGCUACAUCCAUUUAUCUAGUACAUACAGUGCUGUACUUUAUGAAUGGCAAUUUGUGUUCCUGCAUUACUUUUUUUUUUUUAAAUUAAAUGGAUGUACCAUCUUGCACGAAGUCACAACAAACACUUAGACAGAAAUCCAUGAAUAUUUAUCAUUUCCUUGACUGUAUCAUCAGCUAGUUUUUGUAAAAUAUUGUAUAUAGAAAUCAGAUAUAUUAAACAAUUAAGGAGAGUUUAUGUAGUAUGUAGUGAGAUAUAGAGAAUGCAGUAUAUAUAUGGUACUAGUUACUGCAACUGUUUUGUUAACCAUUUUUUGCCUUCGAAUAAAAAUUUAAUUGUGACUAUGUAUUUUGAUGUUA
Long non-coding RNA from Macrobrachium nipponense, 1710 nucleotides. RefSeq lists it as uncharacterized. The record is from RefSeq and is a predicted model, not a curated record. The transcript has 4 exons. NCBI's taxonomy places the organism in Eukaryota, Metazoa, Arthropoda, Malacostraca, Decapoda, Palaemonidae.